Molecule: ribosomal RNA, 516 nt
Filed under: uncultured bacterium
Lineage: Bacteria
Description: bacterial SSU rRNA
Rfam family: Bacterial small subunit ribosomal RNA
Source: RNAcentral
AGAGUUGAUCAUGGCUCAGGAUGAACGCUAGCGGCAGGCUUAACACAUGCAAGUCGAGGGGCAGCGUGGAGUAGCAAUACUCUGACGGCGACCGGCGAAAGGGUGAGUAACGCGUGAGCAACAUGCCCGGUACCGGGGGAUAGUCGAUGGAAACGUCGCGUAAUACCCCGUAACAACAGAGGCCGCAUGACCUUUGUUUAAGAGAUUUAUCGCUACCGGAUUGGCUCGCGUCCCAUUAGGCAGUUGGCGGGGUAACGGCCCACCAAACCGACGAUGGGUAGGGGUUCUGAGAGGAAGGUCCCCCACAUUGGAACUGAGACACGGUCCAGACUCCUACGGGAGGCAGCAGUGAGGAAUAUUGGACAAUGGCCGAGAGGCUGAUCCAGCCAUGCCGCGUGCGGGAGGACGGCCCCUAUGGGUUGUAAACCGCUUUUGUUGGAGAGCAAUAAGGUCCACGUGUGGAUCGAUGAGAGUAUCCAGCGAAUAAGCAUCGGCUAACUCCGUGCCAGCAGCUGC